RNAcentral lists this transfer RNA (73 nucleotides) under Stegodyphus mimosarum. It matches the Rfam family "tRNA". Rfam says of the family: Transfer RNA (tRNA) molecules are approximately 80 nucleotides in length. Their secondary structure includes four short double-helical elements and three loops (D, anti-codon, and T loops). The record is from Rfam by way of RNAcentral. Lineage: Eukaryota; Metazoa; Arthropoda; Arachnida; Araneae; Eresidae.
GCCUUCGUGGUGUAGUGGCCAGCACGCUCAACGGGUACUCGAGAGGACCGUGGUUCGAAUCCCGGCGAGGGCA